GAUUGAACGCUGGCGGCAGGCCUAACACAUGCAAGUCGAACGGUAACCGGAAACAGCUUGCUGUUUCGCUGACGAGUGGCGGACGGGUGAGUAAUGUCUGGGAAACUGCCUGAUGGAGGGGGAUAACUACUGGAAACGGUAGCUAAUACCGCAUAACGUCGCAAGACCAAAGAGGGGGACCUUCGGGCCUCUUGCCAUCGGAUGUGCCCAGAUGGGAUUAGCUAGUAGGUGGGGUAACGGCUCACCUAGGCGACGAUCCCUAGCUGGUCUGAGAGGAUGACCAGCCACACUGGAACUGAGACACGGUCCAGUCUCCUACGGGAGGCAGCAGUGGGGAAUAUUGCACAAUGGGCGCAAGCCUGAUGCAGCCAUGCCGCGUGUAUGAAGAAGGCCUUCGGGUUGUAAAGUACUUUCAGCGGGGAUGAAGGGAGUAAAGUUAAUACCUUGGCUCAUUGACGUUACCCGCAGAAGAAGCACCGGCUAACUCCGUG
Molecule: ribosomal RNA, 491 nt
Filed under: uncultured bacterium
Lineage: Bacteria
Description: partial 16S ribosomal RNA
Rfam family: Bacterial small subunit ribosomal RNA
Source: RNAcentral